GGAAUAUUGCGCAAUGGGCGAAAGCCUGACGCAGCAAUACCGCGUGAGUGAGGAAGGGUUUCGGCUCGUAAAACUCUGUCAAAUGGGAAGAAAGGCCCACAUUCGAAUAGGGUGUGGGAUUGACGGUACCAGUAAAGGAAGCACCGGCUACCUUCGUGCCAGCCGCCGCGGUAAUACGAAGGGUGCAAGCGUUGUUCGGAUUUAUUGGGCGUAAAGCGCGCGCAGGCGGAUCAGCAAGUCAGAUGUGAAAUCUCGGGGCUCAACCCCGAAACUGCGUCUGAAACUGCUAAUCUAGAAUCUUGGAGAGGGAAGGGGAAUUUCUCAUGUAGGGGUAAAAUCCGUAGAGAUGAGAAGGAACACCAGAGGCGAAGGCGCCUUCCUGGACAAGUUAUUGACGCUGAGGCGCGAAAGCGUGGGGGGCAAAC
Molecule: ribosomal RNA, 425 nt
Filed under: uncultured bacterium
Lineage: Bacteria
Description: bacterial SSU rRNA
Rfam family: Bacterial small subunit ribosomal RNA
Source: RNAcentral